This 247-nucleotide ribosomal RNA is filed under the name uncultured bacterium. Its description in RNAcentral is "partial 16S ribosomal RNA". It matches the Rfam family "Bacterial small subunit ribosomal RNA", at positions 86 to 334 of the family's 1533-position model. The record is from RNAcentral.
AGAUGGCGACCGGCGCACGGGUGAGUAACACGUAUCCAACCUGCCUCAUACUCGGGGAUAGCCUUUCGAAAGAAAGAUUAAUAUCCGAUAGCAUAUAUUUCCCGCAUGGGUUUUAUAUUAAAGAAAUUCGGUAUGAGAUGGGGAUGCGUUCCAUUAGUUUGUUGGGGGGGUAACGGCCCACCAAGACUACGAUGGAUAGGGGUUCUGAGAGGAAGGUCCCCCACAUUGGAACUGAGACACGGUCCAG